RNAcentral lists this ribosomal RNA (520 nucleotides) under uncultured fungus. RNAcentral's name for it is "SSU rRNA". It matches the Rfam family "Eukaryotic small subunit ribosomal RNA", at positions 21 to 543 of the family's 1831-position model. Lineage: Eukaryota; Fungi. The record is from RNAcentral.
UAGUCAUAUGCUUGUCUCAAAGAUUAAGCCAUGCAUGUCUAAGUAUAAGCAACUUGUACUGUGAAACUGCGAAUGGCUCAUUAAAUCAGUUAUCGUUUAUUUGAUAGUACCUUACUACAUGGAUACCUGUGGUAAUUCUAGAGCUAAUACAUGCUAAAAACCCCGACUUCAGGAAGGGGUGUAUUUAUUAGAUAAAAAACCAACGCCCUUCGGGGCUCCUUGGUGAAUCAUAAUAACUUAACGAAUCGCAUGGCCUUGCGCCGGCGAUGGUUCAUUCAAAUUUCUGCCCUAUCAACUUUCGAUGGUAGGAUAGUGGCCUACCAUGGUGGCAACGGGUAACGGGGAAUUAGGGUUCGAUUCCGGAGAGGGAGCCUGAGAAACGGCUACCACAUCCAAGGAAGGCAGCAGGCGCGCAAAUUACCCAAUCCCGAUACGGGGAGGUAGUGACAAUAAAUACUGAUACGGGGCUCUUUUGGGUCUCGUAAUUGGAAUGAGAACAAUUUAAAUCCCUUAACGAGGA